This 492-nucleotide ribosomal RNA is filed under the name uncultured bacterium. Its description in RNAcentral is "partial 16S ribosomal RNA". It matches the Rfam family "Bacterial small subunit ribosomal RNA", at positions 29 to 507 of the family's 1533-position model. The record is from RNAcentral.
AGUGAACGCUGGCGGCAGGCCUAACACAUGCAAGUCGAACGGCAGCACAGUAAGAGCUUGUUCUUACGGGUGGCGAGUGGCGGACGGGUGAGGAAUACAUCGGAAUCUACUUUUUCGUGGGGGAUAACGUAGGGAAACUUACGCUAAUACCGCAUACGACCUACGGGUGAAAGCAGGGGAUCUUCGGCCCUUGCGCGAUUGAAUGAGCCGAUGUCGGAUUAGCUAGUUGGCGGGGUAAAGGCCCACCAAGGCGACGAUCCGUAGCUGGUCUGAGAGGAUGAUCAGCCACACUGGAACUGAGACACGGUCCAGACUCCUACGGGAGGCAGCAGUGGGGAAUAUUGGACAAUGGGCGCAAGCCUGAUCCAGCCAUACCGCGUGGGUGAAGAAGGCCUUCGGGUUGUAAAGCCCUUUUGUUGGGAAAGAAAAGCAGCAGGUUAAUACCCCGCUGUUCUGACGGUACCCAAAGAAUAAGCACCGGCUAACUUCGUG